This 620-nucleotide ribosomal RNA is filed under the name Malgassophlebia aequatoris. Its description in RNAcentral is "partial 12S ribosomal RNA". Lineage: Eukaryota; Metazoa; Arthropoda; Insecta; Odonata; Libellulidae. The record is from RNAcentral.
AGGGAAUUAAUUAUUAUUGAUUAAAUAGUUAAAUUGUUAUUACUUUUAAACACGAAUUUUUUAGGUGAAAUUUUAAUUUUAUUGUAAUAAGUUUACGUUGAAGCUAUGAAAUUUAUUUUAAAAACAAGGAUUAGAUACCCUUUUAUAUUAAAUGUAAAUAUAAUCAGGGUAGUAAUAGUUAUGUUCUUGAAACCCAAAGAAUUUGGCGGUAUUUUAUUCUUUUUAGAGGAACCUGUCCUGUAAUUGAUAGUCCACGAUGAGGAAUCACUUAUUCUUGUAUUCAUUUUGUAUACCUCCGUCAUCAGAGUAUCUUUUUAGAGAUAAUACUCUUUUAAUAUAAAAUAAGAUAUGUCAGGUCAAGGUGCAAUUUAUGGAUAAGUAGAGAUGGGUUACAAUAAAUAUAUUUAUAUGAAUUAUUAUUAUUAUUAGUAAUAUGAAGGGGAUUUAAAAGUAAAAUUAUUUUCUUAAUAAUUUGAUUUUGGCUCUAAAAUAUGCACACAUCGCCCGUCGCUCUUAUUUUAAAAUAAGAUAAGUCGUAACAUAGUAGGAGUACCGGAAGGUGUUCCUAGGAAGUAAANCAAGUUAGAGCUUGAUAGAAAGCAUUUCAUUUACACUGAAAA